Mytilus trossulus (common blue mussel) is the source of this 222-nucleotide long non-coding RNA. RefSeq lists it as uncharacterized. The record is from RefSeq and is a predicted model, not a curated record. NCBI's taxonomy places the organism in Eukaryota, Metazoa, Mollusca, Bivalvia, Mytilida, Mytilidae. The transcript is spliced from 6 exons.
AUUAAAAAGUGCCAAUGUGUGGUUGAAGAUUUUAUGUUAUGAAUUGUAUUUACAUUGUAAUGUAUGCAUGAUUAAUGUAGAAUGGAAAGUUCGGAUGAGGACUCAUACAAUGGUGAUGAUGAUUUUGAUGAGAUUCCAGAUUAUGACGAACAUUUGAAUGAGAAUGAAGAUUCGGAUGAAAAUGAUAAUCAGAGUGCAGGUUCUGAGGAAGAGGAUAAUCAG